GAUGAACGCUGGCGGCGUGCCUAAUACAUGCAAGUCGAGCGAAUGGAUUAAGAGCUUGCUCUUAUGAAGUUAGCGGCGGACGGGUGAGUAACACGUGGGUAACCUGCCCAUAUGACUGGGAUAACUCCGGGAAACCGGGGCUAAUACCGGAUAACAUUUUGAACCGCAUGGUUCGAAAUUGAAAGGCGGCUUCGGCUGUCCCUUAUGGAUUGACCCGCGUCGCAUUAGCUAGUUGGUGAGGUAACGGCUCACCAAGGCAACGAUGCGUAGCCGACCGGGGAGGGUGAUCGGCCACAUGGGGACUGAGACACGGCCCAGACUCCGACGGGAGACAGCAGUAGGGAAUCUUCCGCAAUGGACGAAAGUCUGACGGAGCAACGCCGCGUGAGUGAUGAAGGCGUUCGGGUCGUAAAACUCUGUGGUUAGGGAAGAACAAGUGCUAGUGGAAUAAGCUGGCACCUUGACGGUACCUAACCAGAAAGCCACGGCUAACUACGUGCCAGCAGCCGCCGUAA
This 515-nucleotide ribosomal RNA is filed under the name uncultured bacterium. RNAcentral describes it as "partial 16S ribosomal RNA". It matches the Rfam family "Bacterial small subunit ribosomal RNA", at positions 28 to 523 of the family's 1533-position model. The record is from RNAcentral.